This 19-nucleotide microRNA is filed under the name Drosophila ananassae. Its description in RNAcentral is "miR-33-RA". The record is from RNAcentral. Lineage: Eukaryota; Metazoa; Arthropoda; Insecta; Diptera; Drosophilidae. RNAcentral also lists the same sequence under 4 other names.
AGGUGCAUUGUAGUCGCAU